This is a long non-coding RNA of Oryzias melastigma (Indian medaka), 1112 nucleotides long. RefSeq lists it as uncharacterized. The transcript has 2 exons. The record is from RefSeq and is a predicted model, not a curated record. NCBI's taxonomy places the organism in Eukaryota, Metazoa, Chordata, Actinopteri, Beloniformes, Adrianichthyidae.
UCUGUGUGAGUUCAGGAAUGUUGGUCCCGGUCCAGAGUUUGGUUAAUGGCCACAAAGUAAAAGCAGCAGAAGAACUGAUGUUUGGCUCAGGAACAGCAAAAACCAGGUGCUUUUCAUGUAGAGACGCCACACCCCAACCACACGCGGUAAAACACAAAACAAGUAAACCACAGAUGUGGUGCAGUCAAAAGGAAAAUCAAAUCAACAUGCAGUAACAUGAGAUCGCAUUUGGAGUGCAAGUGAAAGAAUGUUUGCCGAUACAGUGUGCCUGGUGGGGGUAACUACUGUUUCAAGUAAACCCUUGCUGGCUGUGCUCUGUUCAAACCUCGCUUUGUUUACCAGACAGCAGAAGAGACAGUGGGACGUCUGCCCAAAUCUGUCACUCUGACCUGAGUUUCUGCAGCAGUGCUGGGUUUAUGAAGGGAUGCUUUGUUCUCUUCACCCCAGAAUAACUGUUAUCAAGAGGCUCAGCAUGGAGUUCGUCUGCUGUUGCCUCAGCUGAGAGAGCUGGAGCAGCAUCUAUGGCCCGCCUGGCUCACACAGAUGACAACAAGGAAGAAGUAGGCGCUCCCUCGUGGCAGCACCCCCUUCCCUCGUCCGGGGAAAGCAUGGAGCUCUCCCUCCUGGAGCGCUGGCCCCCAGUCACGGCGAGCAGGCGUGGGACGUAGGGCUAUCAGCGGGACUGGGAAAUGGCACUCGAGGAGGAGUCCCGCGGCGAGGGAGCAAUGAGAAACUUUAGUGUCACGUGUUUUAAAAACACCUGUUUAGACCUUUUAGAUUAAUUAUCGGGUAUAUCUGUUCAAGAAAAUGUCUCAUAUUCACAACCUUAGUUCAAAGUGUCACUCCGAUGACCCAGCAUUCUAGCAGCACUUAAACGCAUCACUCACACAUGAAUCUUGGAGACGUGUAAAGAGUCUCAAAUCAGAUUUGUAUGCAAAUGUGGUUUUGUGUGAGCGAAACAAGCGUUCGUCUGUUCUUUGUAAAGGUUUGUAUUUGUAGUAAGUUUUAAGCUGCUGUACUUUCAUGUUGUCCAUGUGUAAAUUAUUUUUUUGUAUUUUCAAAUAUUUGUACGUUAAUACACAAUUAAAAAGAACACACAGUUACGCAAAAAA